AUUUAGAUUGGAGUAGGAGGUUGGCCAAUACCCAAGUGGAUUUUAGGAUUUUUCUUCUAUUUGAUAAGUUCAAUUAUCUUCAAAUAUUGUGUGCUUGUUGCCAACUUAGUUUUUGAAAGUUGUGUAAAUUUUUAAGCAAGAUGAAUAAUUCAAUUAAUAGAUAUUGAGGUUCUAAAUUGUGCUAGGAUUAGAUUGAGUAGGAUUAGGGUUUGGUUUAGGGUUUGAUUUAGGAUUUAGGAUUUGACUAGGAUUUGGUUUAGGAUUUAGGAUUUUCUUAGUAUUUGAUUGAAGUCCAUUAGAAUUUCAACUAGGAUUAAAUUAGAACUUAUUUGAGAUUUAUUUAAGAUAUAUUUGUGAUUAUUUUAAUAUUUUUUAAGGCUUCUUAAGGAUUCUUUU
This 396-nucleotide long non-coding RNA is filed under the name Physcomitrium patens. RNAcentral describes it as "long non-coding RNA (PPAT_LNC004595)". The record is from RNAcentral. Lineage: Eukaryota; Viridiplantae; Streptophyta; Bryopsida; Funariales; Funariaceae.